AAUGAACGCUGGCGGCAUGCCUUACACAUGCCAGUCGAACGGCAGCAUGACCUAGCUUGCUAGGUUGAUGGCGAGUGGCGCACGGGUGAGUAAUGCAUCGGAACGUGCCUUUUAGUGGGGGAUAACGUAGCGAAAGUUACGCUAAUACCGCAUAUUCUCUGAGGAGGAAAGCAGGGGACCUUCGGGCCUUGCGCUAGAAGAGCGGCCGAUGUCGGAUUAGCUAGUUGGUGAGGUAAAGGCUCACCAAGGCAACGAUCCGUAGCGGGUCUGAGAGGAUGAUCCGCCACACUGGGACUGAGACACGGCCCAGACUCCUACGGGAGGCAGCAGUGGGGAAUUUUGGACAAUGGGCGCAAGCCUGAUCCAGCCAUGCCGCGUGAGUGAAGAAGGCCUUCGGGUUGUAAAGCUCUUUCGGCUGGGAAGAAAUCGAACCCUCUAAUACAGGGUGUGGAUGACGGUACCAGCAGAAGAAGCACCGGCUAACUACGUG
Molecule: ribosomal RNA, 490 nt
Filed under: uncultured bacterium
Lineage: Bacteria
Description: partial 16S ribosomal RNA
Rfam family: Bacterial small subunit ribosomal RNA
Source: RNAcentral